UACGUAGGGUGCAAGCGUUGUCCGGAAUUAUUGGGCGUAAAGAGCUUGUAGGCGGUUUGUCGCGUCUGCUGUGAAAUUUCGGGGCUCAACCCCGAACUUGCAGUGGGUACGGGCAGACUGGAGUCCGGUAGGGGAGUGUGGAAUUCCUGGUGUAGCGGUGAAAUGCGCAGAUAUCAGGAGGAACACCAACAGCGAAGGCAGCACUCUGGGCCGGUACUGACGCUGAGGAGCGAAAGCUAGGGGAGCAAACGGG
Molecule: ribosomal RNA, 253 nt
Filed under: uncultured bacterium
Lineage: Bacteria
Description: partial 16S ribosomal RNA
Rfam family: Bacterial small subunit ribosomal RNA
Source: RNAcentral